Molecule: long non-coding RNA, 3056 nt
Filed under: Homo sapiens (human)
Lineage: Eukaryota; Metazoa; Chordata; Mammalia; Primates; Hominidae
Description: non-protein coding lnc-PCED1B-8:2
Source: RNAcentral
CAGCCAUAAAAAGAGCGAAAUAAUAUCCUUUGCAGCGACAUGGAUGCAGCUGGAGGCCAUUACCCUAAGCAAAUUUACUCAGGAACUGGAAACUAAAAGCCACGUUUUCUUAUUUAUAAGUGAGAGCUAAACGUUGGGUAAUCGUGGACAUAAAAGUGGCAACAAUAGACACUGGGGACUAUUAGAGUGGGGAGGAAGGGAGACGGGCAAGGGUUGAUAAACUAUUGGGUACUAUGCUGACUACCUGGGUGACAGGAUCAAUCAUACCCCAAACCUCAGCAUCAGGCAAUAUUUCCAGGUACCAAACCUGCACAUGUACCCCCUGAAUCUAAAAUAGAAGUCAAAAUUAUAAAAAUAAAAGAAAAAAGAAGUAUUAUCCCCUCCACUUUGGUCCCCUGAACCCUCUGAGAAUAAGAAAAUUAGUUUCUUUGUGGAGGAACGGCAUGGUUCCUCGGUUCCUUCCCAUUUUGGUAGUUAAUUGUGAUUCCCCACUAGUAUAAAGGAUUCUGGAAGGCUGCCAUCUUAUGCAGACUUACAGAAAAAGUGGCAGAAGGAGUCUGACUGGCUGGCCCAGGAUUCAUGUUCACAAGUAGACUGAGCAGCCCUUGUGCUUUGCGAUCAUUCUGGCCAUCAAACUCCAUGGCCCCAUAUUCGUGUCACUUGCCCAAGGUCCUUCCGUCCAAAUGGCCAAACCCACCUGAUGUUGACAUGAUAUACAGUUUGCAAAGUGUUUCCCGUAAUAUUUUGUUUGCACCCCAACCUUGUAAGGGAUUAUUAACUAUUCUAUUUACAGCUGGAAAAAAAUGAAUAAUUUUUGAAAUCUGACAUUGAAGAAACCCUAGAAGUUAGCCCAACUCAAUCCCUUAUUUUCUCAGAUGAUGACAUUGAGACCCUGAAAAGUUAAGUGCCUUGUUCAAAAUCACAGUGACAGUAAUGACAACAAGGGUGUCUUGAUCAGAUAUGGUACUGAGCACUCAGAGUAUGUCGUCUCAUUUUGUUCUCACAACCAUCUUACAAAGUAGGACAUGUUGAAAAUAAGAUAAGCAAACUGAGAGGGCUGAGUCAAGGCCAGGUUUUCUGAUGCAAGUUCAGUGCAGCUUCACUCCUCACAGCUACGCCAGGUUGGCCCCUCUCCACUCCUGACGUCAGGGCCAUCUGAGGGGAGGACAUGGCUGUCAGCUGGGAAGAGUGAAAUGGGCAAAGACUGCGUCACGGCUGGAAGGGAUCGUGGCAAGGGCACAGGCAGCAGGAAAGCUGGUGAGUCACCAGAAAGUCUGGCUAAGGAUGAGACUGAGAUCAGUUCAACAAAACAGCCAAAACGAUCACAGCAGCAUCUCUCUCUGACCACCCAGAUUACUUUCAGCAGCAGCACAGUAUGAGCAAGGCUGAGCUCCAGGGAGAGCCAGGGAACAAGCCAGAAAUUUUUAUCAGGAUUUCUUUUUCACACGAACUCCUCAGACUCUAAAUCCAGCCCUUUAAACUGGUGAAGCAAAGGUCCAAGAGAAAAUUUGCUGAUUAUAUGAAUUUUCACCAGCAGUAAAUCAGUGGUUCUCUACUAGGAUAACUGCGCCCCCAGGGGACAUUUGACAAUGUCUAGAGACAAUUUUCGUUGGAGGGUUGGGAGAGCGCUACUGGUAAAUAAUGGAGAAAGGCCACAGAUGUGGCUAAAUAUCCUUCAAUGCAUGGGACGGCCCCUUUCAACAAAGAAUUAUCCCACCCAAAAAUGUUCAUAGUGUCGAGGCUGAGAAACUUUGGUGCAAAUGAAGCUGAGCUGCGUAUAAACAUAACUUCAGUUGCACAAUAAACACCCCAGCUUUCAGAGAAAUAGUCAACUAGGUCAAAGGGCACUGGAGUGGGGACUGCAAGGCCUGAUUUCUAGUUCUAACUUGAUGACAAGUUUGGAACUUUGGGUGUCUUUUUCUUCCUAGAACUAGAGCAGCCAUGUGAUGCGGCCAGAGCCUUCCUGGGGUUGGCUAGUGGCAUAUAGGAAACAGCAGGGCUACUCUACCUUUGCAAAACAUUCUUAAGUUAUGAUUAACCCAAGCAUCUCAGUGUUGAUGGACCACCUUUGUUUUAGUAGGGCCUCAGCACUUUUUUCCUCCAAUUAAAAAGGUAAUCCAUAUCAUUAUAGAAACUUAAGAAAAUACAGAAUAACACAAACAGAAGAAAAAAAGUAUCUUAUAAUCCCAUCUCUUAGAAAGGAGUCUUAUUCUGAAGGUCUCCAGAUACUGACCUUCAUUUUCAAUAUUUUGAAGAGGAAGGGGAGAAGAGAGAGUCACUGUCCUCCUCCUUUUGUUGUUGUUUUUGUUUUCUUUUUCACUUCUUUAUAGUACAAGCGAGCUUUACCAAUUAGUCAAAAGUGGAGUUCAAAGAGUUUUAACUGUAGCUACUUGUGUUUGUACUAAUGUUUUAACUUUUUAAAAAAGUUAAAGUUGUUGAUUGUGGUAAAAUACAAAUAACAUAAAACUUACCACCUUAACCAUUUUUGACUGUACAGUUCAGUAGUGUUGUGAGUCAAUCUCCAGAACCUUUUCAUUUUCCAAAACAAAUACUCUGAACUCAUUAAACAAUAACUCCUCAAUUUCCUCCUCCUCUAGCCCCUGGCAGCCACCAUUCUACUUCCUGUUUUAUGAACUUGACUACUCCAGAUUCCUCAUGUAAGAGAAAUUAUACAGCAUUUGUCUUUUUGUGACUAUUUCACUUAGCAUAAUGUCUUCAAGGUUGAUCUAUGUUGUAGCACAUGUCUGAAUUUGCUUGCUUUUUAAUGCUGAACAGUAUUCCAUUGUGUAUCCCAUUUUGUUGAUCCAUUUAUCUAUUGAUGGGCAUGUGGGUUGCUUCCCCUUUGGCUAUUAGGAAUAAUGCUGCUGUAAACACGGGUGUACGAAUUUCCCUUAGAAACUCUGUGUUGUGUCUUAACUUCUUGGUUCCUCCUUUGUUUUUGUUGUAAAAAUGGAGGAAAAAGGAACACCUGCCUUGCAAACCCCCAGAUAGAGUGCUGGAUAAACAGUGAAGAGCCAAUGUUUCCACAGGAGGAAGGAUUAGAUAGGGAGAGCUGG